Molecule: ribosomal RNA, 254 nt
Filed under: uncultured microorganism
Description: partial 16S ribosomal RNA
Rfam family: Archaeal small subunit ribosomal RNA
Source: RNAcentral
CACCGGCGGCUCGAGUGGUGGCCACUUUUAUUGGGUCUAAAGCGUCCGUAGCCGGCUUGGCAAGUCCCCUGGGAAAUCUGGCGGCUUAACCGUCAGGCGUCCAGAGGAUACUGCCAGGCUUGGGACCGGGAGAGGUGAGAGGUACCUCAGGGGUAGGGGUUAAAUCUUGUGAUCCCUGAGGGACCACCAGUGGCGAAGGCGUCUCACUAGAACGGGUCCGACGGUCAGGGACGAAAGCUGGGGGCACGAACCGG